GAUGAACGCUGGCGGCGUGCCUAAUACAUGCAAGUCGAACGAAGAGACAAGAAGCUUCUGCUCUUGACGUUAGCGGCGGGCGGGUGAGUGACGCAUGUAUCACCUACCUAUAAGACGGGGAGAACUUCGGGACGACAGAUAUAAUACCAGAGCAUAUGUUGAACCGCGGUAAGCAAUGGAGAAAGGCAGCUUUGCCGCUACUAAGAGGUGGUGCCGCGUCGCAUUAGCUAGUUGGUAAGGUAACGCCUCACCAAGGCAACGAUCCGGGGCCGACCUGAGAGGGUGAUCGGCCCCACUGGAACUGAGCCACGGUCCAGACUCCUACGGGAGGCAGCAGUGGGGAAUCUUCGGCAAUGGGCGAAAGCCUGCCGCAGCAACGCCGCGUGGGUGAUGAAGGUCUUCGGAUUGUAAACCCCUUUUAUUGGGAAAGAACAGCUGUAGAAUUAACUCUGCACGUUUUGACGGUACCUAAUCAGAAAGCCACGGCUAACUACGUG
This 497-nucleotide ribosomal RNA is filed under the name uncultured bacterium. Its description in RNAcentral is "partial 16S ribosomal RNA". It matches the Rfam family "Bacterial small subunit ribosomal RNA", at positions 28 to 507 of the family's 1533-position model. The record is from RNAcentral.